Molecule: ribosomal RNA, 261 nt
Filed under: uncultured bacterium
Lineage: Bacteria
Description: partial 16S ribosomal RNA
Rfam family: Bacterial small subunit ribosomal RNA
Source: RNAcentral
GUGGCGGACGGGUGAGUAACGCGUGGGUAACCUGCCCUGUACAGGGGGAGUAACAGUCAGAAAUGACUGCUAGUACCGCAUAAGACCACGAAACCGCAUGGUUUUGAGGUAAAAACUCCGGUGGUGUGAGAUGGGCCCGCGUCUGAUUAGGUAGUUGGUGCGGUAACGGCGCACCAAGCCGACGAUCAGUAGCCGACCUGAGAGGGUGACCGGCCACAUUGGGACUGAGACACGGCCCAAACUCCUACGGGAGGCAGCAUG